This 458-nucleotide ribosomal RNA is filed under the name Neoheterandria tridentiger. Its description in RNAcentral is "partial 12S ribosomal RNA". It matches the Rfam family "Bacterial small subunit ribosomal RNA", at positions 875 to 1526 of the family's 1533-position model. Lineage: Eukaryota; Metazoa; Chordata; Actinopteri; Cyprinodontiformes; Poeciliidae. The record is from RNAcentral.
GGGAACUACGAGCAUAAGCUUAAAACCCAAAGGACUUGGCGGUGCUUUAGAUCCCCCUAGAGGAGCCUGUUCUAGAACCGAUAACCCCCGUUCGACCUCACCUCUUUCUUGUUCCUCCCGCCUAUAUACCGCCGUCGUCAGCAUACCCUGUGAAGGAAGCAUAGUACGCAAAAUUGGCAAAGCCCAAAACGCCAGGUCGAGGUGUAGCGAACGAAAAGGAAAGAAAUGGGCUACAUUUCCUCUUCCAGGAAAUACGAAUUGUGCUAUGAAACAACACAUGAAGGAGGAUUUAGUAGUAAGCAGAAAACAGAGAGUUCUGCUGAACCCGGCCCUGAAGCACGCACACACCGCCCGUCACUCUCCCCAAACCAAAAAUGCCCAUACUUAAAAAUAUAUACAGGACUAAGGGGAGGCAAGUCGUAACAUGGUAAGUGUACCGGAAAGUGCACUUGGAAAAC